RNAcentral lists this ribosomal RNA (397 nucleotides) under uncultured bacterium. RNAcentral describes it as "bacterial SSU rRNA". It matches the Rfam family "Bacterial small subunit ribosomal RNA", at positions 28 to 417 of the family's 1533-position model. The record is from RNAcentral.
GACGAACGCUGGCGGCGCGCUUAACACAUGCAAGUCGAGCGAGAACCAGGACUUCGGUCCUGGGGACAGCGGCGAACGGGUGAGUAACACGUGGAUAACCUGCCCUCGGCACCGGGAUAGCCCGGGGAAACUCGGAUUAAUACCGGAUAGCCCUUCCGACUCUCGAGUCGGUCCGAAAAGGUAGCUUCGGCCUCUGGCCGAGGGAUGGGGUCCGCGGCGGAUUAGCUUGUUGGUGGGGUAACGGCCUACCAAGGCUCGAUCCGUAGCUGGUCUGAGAGGACGAUCAGCCACACUGGGACUGAGACACGGCCCAGACUCCUACGGGAGGCAGCAGUGGGGAAUCUUGCGCAAUGGGCGAAAGCCUGACGCAGCGACGCCGCGUGAGGGAGGAAGGCCU